Molecule: transfer RNA, 71 nt
Filed under: Camelus bactrianus (Bactrian camel)
Lineage: Eukaryota; Metazoa; Chordata; Mammalia; Artiodactyla; Camelidae
Also listed under: 2 other names
Rfam family: tRNA
About the family: Transfer RNA (tRNA) molecules are approximately 80 nucleotides in length.
Source: Rfam by way of RNAcentral
GAGGGUGCAGCUCAGUGGUAGAGCACGUGCCUAGCAUGCAUGAGGUCCUGGGUUCGAUCCCAGUAUCUCCA